This is a long non-coding RNA of Vespa mandarinia (Asian giant hornet), 602 nucleotides long. NCBI's taxonomy places the organism in Eukaryota, Metazoa, Arthropoda, Insecta, Hymenoptera, Vespidae. The record is from RefSeq and is a predicted model, not a curated record.
CCAUUUUAAAGAAUCAUAUGGAUAAGAGGAGGUGGGGGAUAGAUUGAGGAAGGGAGAAAGAGACAGACAGAGGAUCGAGGCGUGGCACAGUUUGGAGAGACGGACAGUUAAGAAGAGCGACUGAUCAGAGUGGUCGAGAAGGAAGGGAAAAGUGACACCGUUGACACCAUUGAGGUAGGAUCGGUGUGGAGGACGUCGAUUGUCAAGUACAACGGCGACGACGACGACGAUGUCGACGACGACGACGACGACGACGACGACGACGACGACGACGACGACGACGAUAACGACGCGACGCUUCACCGCAAAUCUGAUUCCAUGUAGGUAUACUUGACAUUAAAUUUUCCGUCGGCCUUCUAAACUGUGCGGCGCUAUACGUGCGCGCAAACGAACACGCGUGUAGGCAGUCAGCUCACUCCAAAGCCUUUCUCUUUGGCGAGCCAAUGAUUGCGCCACCUACCGAAAAAUCUACGCCUACCAACGCAACGAGGAGACUUAGAAACAGCGAUAAUGGACGAUCCUAAACAUGUCUUCGAUUCUUUUUCUCUCGAUCGCUUAUUUUUUUUUGUCCUUAUAAAUUUGAGGCCUUAAAUUUUUUUUUU